Molecule: long non-coding RNA, 876 nt
Organism: Pogoniulus pusillus (Red-fronted tinkerbird)
Lineage: Eukaryota; Metazoa; Chordata; Aves; Piciformes; Lybiidae
Exons: 4
Source: RefSeq, a predicted model, not a curated record
AGGGGAAAGUGGUGGUUGUUUCUUCUGCUGAGACCACUGAAAACACAAGGGAAAUGUAGCAUGAACACAAAGGAGCACAUGUGCAGGACAAAUACUGAGAGCUCUUUGAACUGCAAGCAAUUGUGAGACUUUAAUAAGAAAAAGAAAACACAUUAACUUCUCAAUGUGUCAAUCAUUGUGCCAACCAAGAAAACUAUCAAUAUGAGAACAAAUGCCCAGGAAAAUUGUUUUGUACAGUCACAGAAUUUCUUAGAUUGGAAAAGACCUUCAAGAUCAUAGAGUCCAAUCAGUAGUUUCACGCUGACCAGUCCUUGACUAAACCAAAUCCCACAGCACAAUAUCUAAUCACUAUGAUUCACUGUGGUUGGAAAGGACCACUAGGAUCAGCCAGUCCAACCUUCAUCCCAGCAUCCUUAAUCACUACACCAUAGCCUCAAGCAGCACAUCCAUUCUCCUUUUAAACACCUCCAUGGAUGACGACGACUCCACCUCCCUGGGGACCCCCGGUAAACCAACCACAUCCUGACAAAAGUUCCUGUAGUACAAAUUUUAAUUCCAUACUACUAUUUCUAACCUAUUUCAAAUAACUUUACAUUCAUUUUAAAUCAAGGCAGCUUUCACAGUUGAAGCAAAAGUGUCAGCAUUCCAUAGCAAUUUUUCAUCUUUCAGAAUCAGUUCACAAGAAUGAGUCCUAAGACUAAUAAAAUGACAGACACUACAAGAGAGAAGAAAAAUGCUAAGCAGUACUGGAAGUGUAUUAUGAUGACUUGUAAAAUAAUUGUUUGCACAAAGGACAUGCUUUAUUAUCAUAUUGUUAAAUUAAGACAUUAUUUAUGUGAAUAUGUUACUUUGUAUAAUAGCAUAAUAAAAUUGCAA